AUUCAGCUGAUGAGUUCGAAUUAGGAUGAAACGCUCGUCCUGAAU
RNAcentral lists this non-coding RNA (45 nucleotides) under Schistosoma margrebowiei. The record is from RNAcentral. Lineage: Eukaryota; Metazoa; Platyhelminthes; Trematoda; Strigeidida; Schistosomatidae.